GGAAGGAUGGCAGAGCCUGGCUUAUUGCACCCGCUUCGAAAGCGGGCGACCCGCAAGGGUUCGGGGGUUCGAAUCCCUCUCCUUCCGCCA
Molecule: transfer RNA, 90 nt
Filed under: Roseibium sp. RKSG952
Lineage: Bacteria; Pseudomonadati; Pseudomonadota; Alphaproteobacteria; Hyphomicrobiales; Stappiaceae
Description: tRNA-Ser
Rfam family: tRNA
About the family: Transfer RNA (tRNA) molecules are approximately 80 nucleotides in length. Their secondary structure includes four short double-helical elements and three loops (D, anti-codon, and T loops).
Source: RNAcentral